Molecule: ribosomal RNA, 478 nt
Filed under: uncultured bacterium
Lineage: Bacteria
Description: partial 16S ribosomal RNA
Rfam family: Bacterial small subunit ribosomal RNA
Source: RNAcentral
GACGAACGCUGGCGGCGUGCUUAACACAUGCAAGUCGAACGGUAAGGCCCUUCGGGGUACACGAGUGGCGAACGGGUGAGUAACACGUGGGUGAUCUGCCCUGCACUUCGGGAUAAGCCUGGGAAACUGGGUCUAAUACCGGAUAGGACUCCUGGCUUCAUGGUUGGGGGUGGAAAGCUUUUGCGGUGUGGGAUGGGCCCGCGGCCUAUCAGCUUGUUGGUGGGGUAAUGGCCUACCAAGGCGACGACGGGUAGCCGGCCUGAGAGGGUGACCGGUCACACUGGGACUGAGAUACGGCCCAGACUCCUACGGGAGGCAGCAGUGGGGAAUAUUGCACAAUGGGCGCAAGCCUGAUGCAGCGACGCUGCGUGAGGGAUGACGGCCUUCGGGUUGUAAACCUCUUUCAGCUAUGACGAAGCGCAAGUGACGGUAGUAGCAGAAGAAGGACCGGCCAACUUCGUGCCAGCCGCCGCAGUAA